Molecule: non-coding RNA, 28 nt
Filed under: Rattus norvegicus (Norway rat)
Lineage: Eukaryota; Metazoa; Chordata; Mammalia; Rodentia; Muridae
Source: RNAcentral
UGGAAGGGUUUGAGAAUAUGUCCCCAGC